This 97-nucleotide transfer RNA is filed under the name Xylaria grammica. Its description in RNAcentral is "tRNA-Ile". It matches the Rfam family "tRNA". From Rfam's summary of the family: Transfer RNA (tRNA) molecules are approximately 80 nucleotides in length. Their secondary structure includes four short double-helical elements and three loops (D, anti-codon, and T loops). The record is from RNAcentral. RNAcentral also lists the same sequence under 1 other name. Lineage: Eukaryota; Fungi; Ascomycota; Sordariomycetes; Xylariales; Xylariaceae.
GGUCCUAUAGCUCAGUUGGUUAGAGCGUCGUACUAAUAUUAUAUCACUAUAACAUUAGUUCAUGCGAAGGUCGUGAGUUCGACCCUCACUGGGACCA